RNAcentral lists this ribosomal RNA (253 nucleotides) under uncultured bacterium. RNAcentral describes it as "partial 16S ribosomal RNA". It matches the Rfam family "Bacterial small subunit ribosomal RNA", at positions 524 to 776 of the family's 1533-position model. The record is from RNAcentral.
UACAGAGGGUGCGAGCGUUAAUCGGAUUUACUGGGCGUAAAGCGUGCGUAGGUGGUUUGAUAAGUCGGUUGUGAAAGCCCCGGGCUCAACCUGGGAAUUGCAGCCGAUACUGUCAGACUAGAAAACGGUAGAGGGGGGUGGAACUCCAGGUGUAGCGGUGAAAUGCGUAGAUAUCUGGAAGAACACCGAUGGCGAAGGCAGCCCCCUGGGCCUUUUUUGACACUGAGGCACGAAAGCGUGGGUAGCAAACAGG